RNAcentral lists this ribosomal RNA (1526 nucleotides) under uncultured fungus. RNAcentral describes it as "eukaryotic LSU rRNA". The stretch from base 787 to 1526 matches the Rfam family "Eukaryotic large subunit ribosomal RNA", at positions 1 to 667 of the family's 3401-position model. Lineage: Eukaryota; Fungi. The record is from RNAcentral.
CUUGGUCAUUUAGAGGAAGUAAAAGUCGUAACAAGGUAACCGUAGGUGAACCUGCGGUUGGAUCAUUAACAAAUUUAUAUUUGAAGGAUUAAAGGGUUCCCUCUUUGGGGGAUUCUUUUCUUCUUUAAACAUUUUGUGAACUGUUUUUAACGUCUUUUGGGUAUGGUUAUUAUUUUUUAUAAUCGAAGUGAGCUUUUUUUUCUUUAACGAGAAAAAAAAUUUCAGCCUACCCAACUAUAUAUUUAGACCUUAGUAGAAUAAAUUGUCUUUAAAAAAAAAAAUUGUAUAUUUUUAAUAUAAAAAUUGAAAAAACAACUUUUGACAACGGAUCUCUAGGCUCUCGCAACGAUGAAGAACGCAGCGAAAUGCGAUAAGUAAUGUGAAUUGCAGAAUUCCGUGAAUCAUUAAAUCUUUGAACGCACAUUGCGCUCUUUGGUAUUCCGAAGAGCAUGUCUGUUUGAGAAUCAGUUUAAUUUAUCAACCUUUAACCAAUUUUUUUAAUUAAAAAGUGGUUAGAAAGUUUGGACCAUGGGCCUUUUUUCAAUGAAAUUUUCUUUAUUGAUGGCCUUAAUAUUAACUGUUUUUUCUCUGGUUUUAUUUCUUGAAACCUUUGCUAGAAGGCAUGACCAAUUUUUACUUUAAGCCUUUAAAACGCUUAAGGUAUAAAAAAAGAAUUGCUGAUAAUGGUGAUAACCUCUUGAAAUUUGCCUACAUAAGAGAAAACAUUAAGCCUUAUUUCGAAAGAAAUUAUACGAAAGAAACCUUAAAAACCUUUCUUUUAAGACUUGAUCUCAAAUCAGAUAAGACUACCCGCUGAACUUAAGCAUAUCAAUAAGCGGAGGAAAAGAAACUAACAAGGAUUCCUCUAGUAACGGCGAGUGAAGCGGGAAUAGCUCAAAUUUGAAAUCUCACUGGUCCCCAGUGCGAAUUGUAGUUUAAAGAAAUGUUUUCUGAGGCAGGCUAGGGUCAAGUCCUUUGGGAUAAGGCAUCAUAGAAGGUGAGAAUCCUGUAUGCGCUCUGGCUUUUGCCUCUUUGUGAUACACUUUCAAAGAGUCGGGUUGUUUGGGAAUGCAGCCCAAAAUGGGUGGUAAAUACCAUCUAAAGCUAAAUAUUGGCGAGAGACCGAUAGCGAACAAGUACCGUGAGGGAAAGAUGAAAAGAACUUUGAAAAGAGAGUUAAAAGUACGUGAAAUUGUCAAAAGGGAAACACUUGAAACCAGUCUUGUGAGUAGAAUCCCAACCAGUCUAACGAUUGGCUCAUGUUUCUACUUGCAGGUCAACAUCAGUUUUAACCGCUGUACAAAGCUUGAAGAAGGUAGCCACCUCGGUGGUGUUAUAGCUUCAAGUUAUGCAGUGGGUAAGAUUGAGGUUUGCAGUGCGGUCUUGGAGACCCGGUCGCUAGCUGAUGUUGAGUCUUAGACAACUUGUUGACUAAGAUUUAGAUAAGGCUAAUCGGCUGGUUUAUCACACCUGUGCUUAGGAUGUUGACAAAAUGGUUUUAAAUGACCCGUCUUGAAACACGGACC